Molecule: long non-coding RNA, 765 nt
Filed under: Daphnia magna
Lineage: Eukaryota; Metazoa; Arthropoda; Branchiopoda; Diplostraca; Daphniidae
Description: uncharacterized LOC116923056, transcript variant X2
Source: RNAcentral
AAAUCAAAUAGCAUGAAAAACUUUUCCCAUUUCAUUUCUUCGAAAACAUCUUAUCGAUGAAAAACGUGAAGUUUUAUCUCUCAGUGAUAAAGAAAUAUCUCGUGCUGUCAGCGAAGCGAAGUGUUAAAUUAGUGUUCAACGAUUGCGAUCUUCAAUUUUUUUCUGUUGAUUUUUAUCGACGCUUUCGUUGCCGAGAAAGAGCCAUUAAAAUACAACACUCGUCUGCACCGCCAACUGUGACACAUUUCGGUAUUCCAAUUCCGGCUUCGGCCAGAAAUUUUUAUUAGCUGUAAUACUCGAACUUGGAUUGUCUUGGGGCUAUUGCGCUCUACUUGUGUAUCGUCGAGGUUGGGCGUACCGUUUUAAUCGGCCAUACAAGACCAUUCUAAACCCGAAAAGGCGCACACAUCACAUUCUAAAUGACAGUUGCCGUCUUGAUCUCAUGAGGAUUGUUGUAAAGGUGUUUGAUGUCUAGUCAAAGAGCUUACUCACUGCACGGCCACAGAUACAGUUCUACCGUGCUACCCUUCAAUCAUCAGCCUUUGACAAGGGAAAGAAUGGCUGGUGGAGAUAUCUGGGUCCAGUGGUUUACAUGUUGUGUUACUCAGCAACCUCCACCACGAAGACGAAGACCACCGAUUGAUCGUUCCAUGAUCGGUUUGCCGCAAAAUUUUCAACAUACUGCUCACAUAGGCUCAAGCGAUGUGGCCAUGGGUACGAGGCAUCUGGUAGCCUUGCAAAACCACAUGCAAAGUAAAGGAGGAU